UAUUUCUCCGUACGGGGAAGGAUGAGAAGCUUCGACUAAGGUUCGAUUCGAGCGCAGCGAGAAAGCGUUGCCGCAGGCAACGACCCGAAGGGUGAGGAGCGGAGCGACGAAUAAUCCUUCCCCUACCACCA
Molecule: small RNA, 131 nt
Filed under: Salmonella enterica
Lineage: Bacteria; Pseudomonadati; Pseudomonadota; Gammaproteobacteria; Enterobacterales; Enterobacteriaceae
Also listed under: 2 other names
Description: RtT sRNA
Rfam family: RtT RNA
About the family: This family represents a bacterial cis-regulatory element known as RtT RNA. The exact function of RtT is unknown although it is thought that it may be involved in changing the cellular response in relation to amino acid starvation.
Source: RNAcentral